RNAcentral lists this ribosomal RNA (1479 nucleotides) under metagenome. RNAcentral's name for it is "bacterial SSU rRNA". It matches the Rfam family "Bacterial small subunit ribosomal RNA". The record is from RNAcentral.
AGAGUUUGAUCCUGGCUCAGGAUGAACGCUAGCGGGAGGCUUAACACAUGCAAGUCGAGCGGGAUUUAGUAGCUUGCUACUAAUGAGAGCGGCGCACGGGUGAGUAACGCGUAUGCAACCUACCUUUUACAGGGGAAUAGCCCAGAGAAAUUUGGAUUAAUACCCCAUAGUACUGAGAGAUCGCGUGGUUUUUCAGUUAAAGAUUCAUCGGUAAGAGAUGGGCAUGCGUGGCAUUAGAUUGUUGGCGGGGUAACGGCCCACCAAGUCUUCGAUGUCUAGGGGUUCUGAGAGGAUGAUCCCCCACACUGGUACUGAGACACGGACCAGACUCCUACGGGAGGCAGCAGUGAGGAAUAUUGGUCAAUGGGCGCAAGCCUGAACCAGCCAUCCCGCGUGAAGGAAGAAUGUCCUAUGGAUUGUAAACUUCUUUUUUGUACCAAGAAUGUGACCUACGUGUAGGUUUUUGACAGUAGUACAUGAAUAAGCAUCGGCUAACUCCGUGCCAGCAGCCGCGGUAAUACGGAGGAUGCGAGCGUUAUCCGGAUUCAUUGGGUUUAAAGGGUGCGUAGGCGGCUUAUUAAGUCAGUGGUGAAAUCCUGCGGCUCAACCGUAGAACUGCCAUUGAUACUGAUAAGCUUGAAUUUAGUUGAGGUAGGCGGAAUGAGUAGCGUAGCGGUGAAAUGCUUAGAUAUUACUCAGAACACCAAUUGCGAAGGCAGCUUACUAAACUAACAUUGACGCUGAUGCACGAAAGCGUGGGGAGCGAACAGGAUUAGAUACCCUGGUAGUCCACGCCGUAAACGAUGUUCACUCGCUGUAUGCAAUACACCGUAUGCGGCCAAGCGAAAGUAUUAAGUGAACCACCUGGGGAGUACGUCGGCAACGGUGAAACUCAAAGGAAUUGACGGGGGCCCGCACAAGCGGAGGAACAUGUGGUUUAAUUCGAUGAUACGCGAGGAACCUUACCUGGGCUUAAAUGUAGAGUGCAUGUGGUGGAAACACCCUUCCCUUCGGGGCUUUCUACAAGGUGCUGCAUGGUUGUCGACAGCUCGUGCCGUGAGGUGUCGGGUUAAGUCCCAUAACGAGCGCAACCCCUAUCGUUAGUUGCCAUCAGGUCAUGCUGGGGACUCUAGCGAGACUGCCACCGUAAGGUGAGAGGAAGGUGGGGAUGACGUCAAAUCAGCACGGCCCUUAUGUCCAGGGCUACACACGUGUUACAAUGGCAAGUACAAAGGGCAGCUACACCGCGAGGUGAUGCUAAUCUCUAAAGCUUGUCUCAGUUCGGAUCGGAGUCUGCAACUCGACUCCGUGAAGUUGGAUUCGCUAGUAAUCGGAUAUCAGCCAUGAUCCGGUGAAUACGUUCCCGGGCCUUGUACACACCGCCCGUCAAACCAUGGAAGUUGGGGGGACCUGAAGUCUGUCACCGAAAGGAGCGGCCUAGGGUAAAACCGAUGACUGGGGUUAAGUCGGAACAAGGUA